AGUGAACGCUGGCGGUAGGCCUAACACAUGCAAGUCGAACGGCAGCACAGGAGAGCUUGCUCUCUGGGUGGCGAGUGGCGGACGGGUGAGGAAUACAUCGGAAUCUACUCUGUCGUGGGGGAUAACGUAGGGAAACUUACGCUAAUACCGCAUACGACCUACGGGUGAAAGCAGGGGAUCUUCGGACCUUGCGCGAUUGAAUUAGCCGAUGUCGGAUUAGCUAGUUUGCGGGGUAAAGGCCCACCAAGGCGACGAUCCGUAGCUGGUCUGAGAGGAUGAUCAGCCACACUGGAACUGAGACACGGUCCAGACUCCUACGGGAGGCAGCAGUGGGGAAUAUUGGACAAUGGGCGCAAGCCUGAUCCAGCCAUACCGCGUGGGUGAAGAAGGCCUUCGGGUUGUAAAGCCCUUUUGUUGGGAAAGAAAUCCAUCUGGUUAAUACCCGGGUGGGAUGACGGUACCCAAAGAAUAAGCACCGGCUAACUUCGUGCCAGCAGCCGCCGUAA
RNAcentral lists this ribosomal RNA (506 nucleotides) under uncultured bacterium. RNAcentral describes it as "partial 16S ribosomal RNA". It matches the Rfam family "Bacterial small subunit ribosomal RNA", at positions 29 to 523 of the family's 1533-position model. The record is from RNAcentral.